CUCGCCUCCUGUUUUACCACUAGAUGGUACUCAUAUUUUUGGUAUCUUUCAAAUACACAACUGUUGUUAUGUUCCCAUCAUUCUACUUUCUGCUUCUAUGAACUUGACCAUCUUAGACAUCUCACAUAAAAUAGGAGGCAUGGAAACAGUACG
Molecule: long non-coding RNA, 153 nt
Organism: Suricata suricatta (meerkat)
Lineage: Eukaryota; Metazoa; Chordata; Mammalia; Carnivora; Herpestidae
Exons: 3
Source: RefSeq, a predicted model, not a curated record